This is a long non-coding RNA of Syzygium oleosum, 591 nucleotides long. RefSeq lists it as uncharacterized. The record is from RefSeq and is a predicted model, not a curated record. NCBI's taxonomy places the organism in Eukaryota, Viridiplantae, Streptophyta, Magnoliopsida, Myrtales, Myrtaceae. The transcript has 2 exons.
UCGGACGGCAACAAGAGAGUGGGGCCCCCGCUCAGAACACACGGAAAAAACAAAGGCCAAAGUCCAAAGUGGGACUGUAUAUCUACACGAAGCUGCGUGGAAAUUUCCACCACCAUCCCCCCGACCCCACGUACACGUGUCCCCAUAUCCACCUUUCACAGAUUGAUUUUCUCCCGUUGACCCAGUCAACCCCCGCUGCUCUAUAAGAGACAAGGCCCACCAGCCCCUGCUUCUUCACCAUCUCCUCUAGAGCUCUUCAAUCCCAAACUUCUCCCUGAGGCAAGGAAGAUCAGCUCUCUUCUGGCUCGAACAAGAUUGAGGAACCUCAAUCUUGUUCUUCCCUCAGUGUUCUUCGGACACAGAUCCACGUAAAAACCCUGAAGGGCAAGACCGUGAUCAUCGAAGUCGAGAGCUCUGCGACGGUCCACAACGUGAAGGUCCAAAUACAGGACCGAGAAGGCAUUCCCAUGGAUCAGCAGAAGCUGAUCUUCGGGGGCAAGGAGCUCAAGAACGGCGUCCAGACGCUCGCCGAGUACGAUGUUCACAACGAGUCCGUGCUCCACCUCGAUCUCCGCCGAAAGGGCAAGAGAA